Melospiza melodia melodia is the source of this 1623-nucleotide long non-coding RNA. RefSeq lists it as uncharacterized. The transcript is spliced from 3 exons. NCBI's taxonomy places the organism in Eukaryota, Metazoa, Chordata, Aves, Passeriformes, Passerellidae. The record is from RefSeq and is a predicted model, not a curated record.
GUGCAUUCUUCAGAGGACUUCAGGUUUCCAAGAGCACUGCUGCACAUCCUUUGAAAGGCUUUCAGGAUCAUUGUUUAAAGGACUCUGACAUGUGAAAGUUCACGGUGCUCAGAGAUGAGAAGUGACCUGACCCCGCUGUGCUGCCAGAAGCCCGAGCUGAACCUGCAGCUGUCCCACAAAGCAGCUUUUGCACAUGCUGCACGAGGCAGGAGAGAGCAAAGCUGCCGCGCUGGCACAAAGCUUUGCUGCGCGACCCCUCUGGAACGGCUCCGUGCGCGCUGCCGGCGGGAAUGAUGGCUCAGCAGUGCCCAGCACACGCAGCUCUGGAUACCUGGAAAGGGAAGUGAAGGAGAGUCAGUUUAUGGUCCUAGUUUUGAAGGUAUGUCUCCCCAGCUAUCUGACAGUGCAAAUUAUGAAUUUCCACAAAAAUCAAGUUGUUGAUCUGAUCUUAUUCACAUAACAACCAGGGAAUUGCUUUUCAUCUCCCAGCAAAACGGUUUGGUUUUCAGUCAGAAUUAUAAUCUGCUUGUACUAGCAAAACUGCUUUAGUGAAAACACUUUGGUCUAUAACCUUACGUCCUCUUAUGUUCCCUGCCUGAGGCUCAGUACCUUGUCCUUGCCUAAAUGACAGCUGAUGGUCACCCACUGCCUACUUCAAACUUCAAAUACCUUUGUGGACAGCACCCUAGAAAUGCAGAGGUAGAUUAACUACAGAUCUCCAGGCACACCUACCACCUGUUUAAAUGCCUUUAAAGGAACUGAGGUAUGUCAGCUUUACCUCUAGCAAUUUCCUGGACCUCAGGCAGCUUCUGAGGCUUGGGCAAGCAUUAGGCAUUGCUGCCAGCAGCCUCAACUCUGUAGAAGGGGAAUUCUGAAUCUCAUAUAAAACCCUGAAAGUUGAGAAAUUACAAACAUGACCUAAAUUUAACAGAAAAUGUUCCCUCAUACUGGCAUAAGGUAAUAAAAUGUAAGAAAAAAAAAAGAACAUUCUAACUUUUAACUUCUGAUAUUUAAGAAAAACAACUCAUAUCAUUGACACUGGGAUUUUCUGUUUAGAUUAAAUGCUACCCAUUAAGACACUUUAUGACAGUUAAAGCACUUUUGAAAAUUUAUGUUCCCUUAUAUAAAAGCUUUCCCACUGGCAAUGGUGCAAACCAUUUGAGCAGGUUGGGCAGCAGCCAACACUGAGAUCAGAAAUGCUAAGUGCGGCUGAAAAGUUUCUUUCCCAAGAUGCUGAAGAGUCUGCCUGUGAGGAGAAUCUGCUCUCACCUCAAGGUCCCAGGCUGGAUGGAGCAAAAUGUAGUAGCACUGGCAAGCAGGAAAGCUGCUGGAGGUGGAAAGCUGCUGGUGUGUGGGAUUUAAAGCACUAAAUGCUAUGAGCUUCCUGGAGUGGAAAGAAACAGGCAAAAGUCAAUUUGAUGCUGGAGCUCCUGGAACAGGAGCAAGCCCAGGCUCCCAGGGCAUACCUAUCUCUGAGAACAUAACAUAAGCUGGUAUUGGAAAAAAAAAAAAAAGGACUGACUGUUGAAUUUUUUCCAAGGUGGAUGGCACCAAGGACUUAAAAUUUUACAAAUCCUCUUUUCCAGCCAUGUUAUCCAAUCUAUUUGUGCUAGAGCCCAUCUU